This 423-nucleotide ribosomal RNA is filed under the name uncultured bacterium. RNAcentral describes it as "partial 16S ribosomal RNA". It matches the Rfam family "Bacterial small subunit ribosomal RNA", at positions 360 to 775 of the family's 1533-position model. The record is from RNAcentral.
AAUAUUGGACAAUGGGGGCAACCCUGAUCCCGCCAUGCAGCGUGUGUGAAGACGGUCUUCGGAUUGUAGAGCACUUUAAGUUGUGAGGAAGGGCUUUAGGCUAAUACCCUGAAGCUGUGACGUUACGAACCGAAUAAGCACCGGCUAACCCUGUCCCAGCCGCCGCGGUAAUACAGAGGGUGCAAGCGUUAAUCGGAAUCACUGGGCGUAAAGCGCGCGUAGGUGGUUCAGUAAGAUGGGUGUGAAAUCCCCGGGCUUAACCUGGGAACUGCUUUCAUAACUGCUGAGCUAGAGUACGGUAGAGGGUAGUGGAAUUUCCUGUGUAGCGGUGAAAUGCGUAGAUAUAGGAAGGAACACCAGUGGCGAAGGCGACUACCUGGACUGAUACUGACACUGAGGUGCGAAAGCGUGGGGAGCAAACAG